UACGUAGGGGGCUAGCGUUGUCCGGAAUCAUUGGGCGUAAAGCGCGUGUAGGCGGUCCGGUAAGUCCGCUGUGAAAGUCGGGGGCUCAACCCUCGGAUGCCGGUGGAUACUGUCGGACUAGAGUACAGAAGGGGCAACUGGAAUUCUCGGUGUAGCGGUGAAAUGCGUAGAUAUCGAGAGGAACACCUGCGGCGAAGGCGGGUUGCUGGGCUGAUACUGACGCUGAGGCGCGAAAGCCAGGGGAGCGAACGGG
RNAcentral lists this ribosomal RNA (253 nucleotides) under uncultured bacterium. RNAcentral describes it as "partial 16S ribosomal RNA". It matches the Rfam family "Bacterial small subunit ribosomal RNA", at positions 524 to 776 of the family's 1533-position model. The record is from RNAcentral.